GAGCAUGAAAAGGUCAAUUAAUCAACUUAUUUAGGGAAAUUAAAGAAAAUGGGUCACCACAAGUUCAUUUAGUCACAAGGUUCACAAAUCCAUGCAUUAAGCAUCACCUUAGCAAAACAUGGUAACCCAUGAAGGCCAACAAGCAAUUGAAUUGAAACAUUAAUACUACCAAAGACUCAACUGUGAACACUAGCCAAGCAUUCAAGCUUAAUCAAACAUUUUUAGGAACUUCAAAGGUCCCAAUAGCCAAGAAAGGAUCAAGCAAUGGUUCAAAUACAAACAUUUUAGGGCCUAAUUGCAAGAAAUCAGCACAUAUUUGGGCCUUUGAAGAAAUGAUUGAAAAAUUAGGGAGUUAAAGCAUAAAUUUCAGAAUUACUCCAUGCAUGCAACGUAGAAGAUUAAGAUUCUGCAACUAAAAACAAAGGUUGCUCCCCUUUUAUUUCCAAAGCUUCGGCAAUAUCCAACAACAACUACAUCCAUUUC
Molecule: long non-coding RNA, 483 nt
Filed under: Coffea arabica (coffee)
Lineage: Eukaryota; Viridiplantae; Streptophyta; Magnoliopsida; Gentianales; Rubiaceae
Description: long non-coding RNA (CARA_LNC005909)
Source: RNAcentral